This 986-nucleotide ribosomal RNA is filed under the name uncultured archaeon. Its description in RNAcentral is "bacterial SSU rRNA". It matches the Rfam family "Archaeal small subunit ribosomal RNA", at positions 177 to 1164 of the family's 1478-position model. The record is from RNAcentral.
GGGUAAUGACCCAAACCUAUAUGGCCCCUGGAUUGGACUGCGGCCGAUCAGGCUGUUGGUGAGGUAAUGGCCCACCAAACCUGUAACCGGUACGGGCUCUGAGAGGAGGAGCCCGGAGAUGGGCACUGAGACAAGGGCCCAGGCCCUAUGGGGCGCAGCAGGCGCGAAACCUCUGCAAUAGGCGAAAGCUUGACAGGGUUACUCUGAGUGAUCUCCGUUAAGGAGAUCUUUGGCACCUCUAAAAAUGGUGCAGAAUAAGGGGUGGGCAAGUCUGGUGUCAGCCGCCGCGGUAAUACCAGCACCCCGAGUGGUCGGGACGUUUAUUGGGCCUAAAGCAUCCGUAGCCGGUUCCACAAGUCUUCCGUUAAAUCCACCUGCUCAACAGAUGGGCUGCGGAAGAUACUAUGGAGCUAGGAGGCGGGAGAGGCAAGCGGUACUCGAUGGGUAGGGGUAAAAUCCGUUGAUCCAUUGAAGACCACCAGUGGCGAAGGCGGCUUGCCAGAACGCGCUCGACGGUGAGGGAUGAAAGCUGGGGGAGCAAACCGGAUUAGAUACCCGGGUAGUCCCAGCUGUAAACGAUGCAGACUCGGUGAUGAGUUGGCUUUAUGCCAACUCAGUGCCGCAGGGAAGCCGUUAAGUUUGCCGCCUGGGGAGUACGGUCGCAAGACUGAAACCUAAAGGAAUUGGCGGGGGAGCACCACAAGGGGUGUAGCCUGCGGUUCAAUCGGAGUCAACGCCGGAAAUCUUACCGGGGGCGACAGCAGAAUGAAGGUCAAGCUGAAGACUUUACCAGACAAGCUGAGAGGAGGUGCAUGGCCGUCGCCAGCUCGUGCCGUGAGGUGUCCUGUUAAGUCAGGUAACGAGCGAGACCCCUGCUUCUAGUUGCUACCAUUAUUCUCAGGAGUAGUGGAGCUAAUUAGAGGGACUGCCGUCGCUGAGAUAGAGGAAGGAGGGGGGAUACAUCAGGUCAGUAUGCCCCGAAAUCC